RNAcentral lists this ribosomal RNA (253 nucleotides) under uncultured bacterium. RNAcentral describes it as "partial 16S ribosomal RNA". It matches the Rfam family "Bacterial small subunit ribosomal RNA", at positions 524 to 776 of the family's 1533-position model. The record is from RNAcentral.
UACGUAGGGGGCUAGCGUUGUCCGGAUUUAUUGGGCGUAAAGAGCGUGUAGGCGGCCAGAUAGGUCUGCUGUGAAAACUCGAGGCUCAACCUCGAGAUGUCGGCGGAAACCAUUUGGCUAGAGUCCGGAAGAGGAGUGUGGAAUUCCCGGUGUAGCGGUGAAAUGCGUAGAUAUCUGGAGGAACACCGGUGGCGAAGGCGGCAUUCUGGACCGACAUUGACGCUGAGGAGCGAAAGCCAGGGGAGCAAACGGG